AGAGUUUGAUCAUGGCUCAGAACGAACGCUGGCGGCAGGCUUAAGACAUGCAAGUCGAACGCCCCGCAAGGGGAGUGGCAGACGGGUGAGUAACACGUGGGAACGUGCCCCAAGGUUCGGAACAACGCCGGGAAACUGGCGCUAAUACCGGAUGUGACCGUAAGGUGAAAGAUUUAUCGCCUUGGGAUCGGCCCGCGCAAGAUUAGGUAGUUGGUGGGGUAAAGGCCUACCAAGCCUACGAUCUUUAGCUGGUCUGAGAGGAUGAUCAGCCACACUGGGACUGAGACACGGCCCAGACUCCUACGGGAGGCAGCAGUCGGGAAUCUUGGACAAUGGGCGCAAGCCUGAUCCAGCCAUGCCGCGUGAAUGAUGAAGGCCUUAGGGUUGUAAAAUUCUUUCGUGGGGGACGAUAAUGACGGUACCCCAAGAAGAAGCUCCGGCUAACUUCGUGCCAGCAGCCGCGGUAAUACGAAGGGGGCUAGCGUUGUUCGGAAUUACUGGGCGUAAAGCGCGUGUAGGCGGACCGUUAAGUCGGGGGUGAAAGCCCAGAGCUCAACUCUGGAAUUGCCUUCGAUACUGGCGGUCUGGACCCAAGUAGAGGCGAGUGGAAUUACGAGUGUAGAGGUGAAAUUCGUAGAUAUUCGUAGGAACACCAGUGGCGAAGGCGACUCGCUGGACUUGUGGUGACGCUGAGACGCGAAAGCGUGGGGAGCAAACAGGAUUAGAUACCCCAGUAGUCC
Molecule: ribosomal RNA, 740 nt
Filed under: uncultured bacterium
Lineage: Bacteria
Description: bacterial SSU rRNA
Rfam family: Bacterial small subunit ribosomal RNA
Source: RNAcentral